Molecule: ribosomal RNA, 264 nt
Filed under: uncultured bacterium
Lineage: Bacteria
Description: partial 16S ribosomal RNA
Rfam family: Bacterial small subunit ribosomal RNA
Source: RNAcentral
CCGGCGCACGGGUGAGUAACGCGUAUGCAACCUGCCCGUUUCAGCGGGAUAACCCGGAGAAAUCCGGCCUAAUACCGCAUGUGGCCGAGGGGAGGCAUCUUCUUUUCGGCCAAAGGAGGCAACUCCGGAGACGGAUGGGCAUGCGUGACAUUAGCUUGUUGGCGGGGUAACGGCCCACCAAGGCGACGAUGUCUAGGGGUUCUGAGAGGAAGGUCCCCCACACUGGUACUGAGACACGGACCAGACUCCUACGGGAGGCAGCAG